CACGCUGUAAACGAUGUCGACUUGGAGGUUGUUCCCUUGAGGAGUGGCUUCCGGAGCUAACGCGUUAAGUCGACCGCCUGGGGAGUACGGCCGCAAGGUUAAAACUCAAAUGAAUUGACGGGGGCCCGCACAAGCGGUGGAGCAUGUGGUUUAAUUCGAUGCAACGCGAAGAACCUUACCUACUCUUGACAUCCAGAGAACUUAGCAGAGAUGCUUUGGUGCCUUCGGGAACUCUGAGACAGGUGC
Molecule: ribosomal RNA, 246 nt
Filed under: uncultured bacterium
Lineage: Bacteria
Description: partial 16S ribosomal RNA
Rfam family: Bacterial small subunit ribosomal RNA
Source: RNAcentral